GACGAACGCUGGCGGCGUGCUUAACACAUGCAAGUCGAACGGGCCUUGUCCCCUUUUUUUUUGGGGGUGGGGUUAGUGGCGAACGGGUGAGUAACACGUGAGUAACCUGCCCCUCACUUCUGGAUAGCCGCUUGAAAGGGUGGCUAAUACGGGGUGUUCUGGCCUGCUCGCAUGGGUGGGUUUGGAAAGAUUCGACCGGUUUUGGUUGUUUUGGUGGGGGAUGGGCUCGCGGCCUAUCAGCUUGUUGGUGGGGUGAUGGCCUGCCAAGGCUUUGACGGGUAGCCGGCCUGAGAGGGUGGGCGGUCACACUGGGACUGAGACACGGCCCAGACUCCUACGGGAGGCAGCAGUGGGGAAUAUUGCACAAUGGGCGCAAGCCUGAUGCAGCGACGCCGCGUGAGGGAUGGAGGCCUUCGGGUUGUGAACCUCUUUCGCCAGUGAAGAAGGUCCUGCUCUUUGUGGUGGGGUUGACGGUAGCUGGGUUAAUGAAGCGCCGGCUAACUACGUG
Molecule: ribosomal RNA, 508 nt
Filed under: uncultured bacterium
Lineage: Bacteria
Description: partial 16S ribosomal RNA
Rfam family: Bacterial small subunit ribosomal RNA
Source: RNAcentral